This 484-nucleotide ribosomal RNA is filed under the name uncultured bacterium. RNAcentral's name for it is "partial 16S ribosomal RNA". It matches the Rfam family "Bacterial small subunit ribosomal RNA", at positions 30 to 507 of the family's 1533-position model. The record is from RNAcentral.
AUUGAACGCUGGCGGCAGGCCUAACACAUGCAAGUCGAGCGGAUGAAGGGAGCUUGCUCCUGGAUUCAGCGGCGGACGGGUGAGUAAUGCCUAGGAAUCUGCCUGGUAGUGGGGGAUAACGUCCGGAAACGGGCGCUAAUACCGCAUACGUCCUGAGGGAGAAAGUGGGGGAUCUUCGGACCUCACGCUAUCAGAUGAGCCUAGGUCGGAUUAGCUAGUUGGUGGGGUAAAGGCCUACCAAGGCGACGAUCCGUAACUGGUCUGAGAGGAUGAUCAGUCACACUGGAACUGAGAAACGGUCCAGACUCCUACGGGAGGCAGCAGUGGGGAAUAUUGGACAAUGGGCGAAAGCCUGAUCCAGCCAUGCCGCGUGUGUGAAGAAGGUUUUCGGAUUGUAAAGCACUUUAAGUUGGGAGGAAGGGCAGUAAGUUAAUACCUUGCUGUUUUGACGUUACCAACAGAAUAAGCACCGGCUAACUUCGUG